RNAcentral lists this ribosomal RNA (545 nucleotides) under uncultured bacterium. RNAcentral describes it as "bacterial SSU rRNA". It matches the Rfam family "Bacterial small subunit ribosomal RNA", at positions 777 to 1319 of the family's 1533-position model. The record is from RNAcentral.
AAUAGAUACCCGGGUAGUCCACGCCGUAAACGAUGAGUGCUAAGUGUUGGGGGGUUUCCGCUCCUCAGUGCUGCAGCUAACGCAUUAAGCACUCCGCCUGGGGAGUACGGUCGCAAGACUGAAACUCAAAGGAAUUGACGGGGGCCCGCACAAGCGGUGGAGCAUGUGGUUUAAUUCGAAGCAACGCGAAGAACCUUGCCAGGUCUUGACAUCCCGGUGACCACUAUGGAGACAUAGUUUCCCCUUCGGGGGCAACGGUGACAGGUGGUGCAUGGUUGUCGUCAGCUCGUGUCGUGAGAUGUUGGGUUAAGUCCCGCAACGAGCGCAACCCUUAUUCUUAGUUGCCAUCAUUCAGUUGGGCACUCUAAGGAGACUGCCGGUGAUAAACCGGAGGAAGGUGGGGAUGACGUCAAAUCAUCAUGCCCCUUAUGACCUGGGCUACACACGUGCUACAAUGGACGGUACAAACGGUUGCCAACCCGCGAGGGGGAGCUAAUCCGGAUAAAACCGUUCUCAGUUCGGAUUGUAGGCUGCAACUCGCCUAC